Molecule: ribosomal RNA, 484 nt
Filed under: uncultured bacterium
Lineage: Bacteria
Description: partial 16S ribosomal RNA
Rfam family: Bacterial small subunit ribosomal RNA
Source: RNAcentral
GACGAACGCUGGCGGCGUGCUUAACACAUGCAAGUCGAACGAUGAAGCCGGAGCUUGCUCUGGUGAAUUAGUGGCGAACGGGUGAGUAACACGUGAGUAACCUGCCCUUGACUCUGGGAUAACUGCUAGAAAUGGUAGCUAAUGCCGGAUACGACCCUCGGCGGCAUCGCCAGGGGGUGGAAAGGAUUUCGGUCAAGGAUGGACUCGCGGCCUAUCAGCUAGUUGGUGAGGUAACGGCUCACCAAGGCGACGACGGGUAGCCGGCCUGAGAGGGUGACCGGCCACACUGGGACUGAGACACGGCCCAGACUCCUACGGGAGGCAGCAGUGGGGAAUAUUGCACAAUGGGCGCAAGCCUGAUGCAGCAACGCCGCGUGAGGGAUGACGGCCUUCGGGUUGUAAACCUCUUUUAGUAGGGAAGAAGCGAAAGUGACGGUACCUGCAGAAAAAGCACCGGCUAACUACGUGCCAGCCGCCGCGGUAA